This 490-nucleotide ribosomal RNA is filed under the name uncultured bacterium. RNAcentral describes it as "bacterial SSU rRNA". It matches the Rfam family "Bacterial small subunit ribosomal RNA", at positions 1012 to 1502 of the family's 1533-position model. The record is from RNAcentral.
GUGUGCCUUCGGGAACUGUAAGACAGGAACUGAAUGGCUGUCGUCAGCUCGUGUUGUGAAAUGUUGGGUUAAGUCCCGCAACGAGCGCAACCCUUAUCCUUGUUUGCCAGCACUUCNGGUGGGNACUCCAGGGAGACUGCCGGUGAUAAACCGGAGGAAGGUGGGGACGACGUCAAGUCAUCAUGGCCCUUACGAGUAGGGCUACACACGUGCUACAAUGGCGCAUACAGAGGGCGGCCAACUUUCGAAAGUGAGCGAAUCCCAAAAAGUGCGUCGUAGUCCGGAUUGGAGUCUGCAACUCGACUCCAUGAAGUCGGAAUCGCUAGUAAUCGUGGAUCAGAAUCCCACGGUGAAUACGUUCCCGGCCCUUGUCCCCCCCCCCCCUCUCACCAUGGGAGUGGUUUGCAAAAGAAGUGGGUAGUUUAACCUUCGGGAGGACGCUCACCACUUUGUGGUUCAUGACUGGGGUGAAGUCGUAACAAGGUAACCG